This 450-nucleotide ribosomal RNA is filed under the name uncultured bacterium. Its description in RNAcentral is "partial 16S ribosomal RNA". It matches the Rfam family "Bacterial small subunit ribosomal RNA", at positions 354 to 796 of the family's 1533-position model. The record is from RNAcentral.
GUGGGGAAUAUUGGACAAUGGGCGCAAGCCUGAUCCAGCCAUACCGCGUGGGUGAAGAAGGCCUUCGGGUUGUAAAGCCCUUUUGUUGGGAAAGAAAUCCUGUCGGUUAAUACCUGGCGGGGACGACGGUACCCAAAGAAUAAGCACCGGCUAACUUCGUGCCAGCAGCCGCGGUAAUACGAAGGGUGCAAGCGUUACUCGGAAUUACUGGGCGUAAAGCGUGCGUAGGUGGUGGUUUAAGUCCGUUGUGAAAGCCCUGGGCUCAACCUGGGAAUUGCAUUGGAUACUGGAUCACUAGAGUGUGGUAGAGGGAUGCGGAAUUUCUGGUGUAGCAGUGAAAUGCGUAGAGAUCAGAAGGAACAUCCGUGGCGAAGGCGGCAUCCUGGGCCAACACUGACACUGAGGCACGAAAGCGUGGGGAGCAAACAGGAUUAGAAACCCGUGUAGUCC